GCCAUCUUAGCUCAGCUGGUAGAGCAACGGUUUUGUAAACCGUGGGUCCGGGGUUCGAGCCCCCGAGAUGGCU
RNAcentral lists this transfer RNA (73 nucleotides) under Candidatus Magasanikiibacteriota bacterium. RNAcentral's name for it is "tRNA-Thr". It matches the Rfam family "tRNA". From Rfam's summary of the family: Transfer RNA (tRNA) molecules are approximately 80 nucleotides in length. Their secondary structure includes four short double-helical elements and three loops (D, anti-codon, and T loops). Lineage: Bacteria; Candidatus Magasanikiibacteriota. The record is from RNAcentral.